UUGAACGCUGGCGGCAUGCUUUACACCUGCAAGUCGAACGGUAACAGGCCUUCGGGUGCUGACGAGUGGCGAACGGGUGAGUAAUGCAUCGGAACGUACCCAGAGGUGGGGGAUAACGCAGCGAAAGCUGUGCUAAUACCGCAUGUGAUCUGAGGAUGAAAGCGGGGGACCGAGCAGCAAUGUUUGGCCUCGCGCCUUUGGAGCGGCCGAUGUCGGAUUAGCUAGUUGGUGGGGUAAAGGCCUACCAAGGCGACGAUCCGUAGCUGGUCUGAGAGGACGACCAGCCACACUGGGACUGAGACACGGCCCAGACUCCUACGGGAGGCAGCAGUGGGGAAUUUUGGACAAUGGGCGCAAGCCUGAUCCAGCAAUGCCGCGUGCGGGAAGAAGGCCUUCGGGUUGUAAACCGCUUUUGGCAGGAACGAAACGGUGUCCGCUAAUACCGGGCGCUAAUGACGGUACCUGCAGAAUAAGCACCGGCUAACUACGUG
Molecule: ribosomal RNA, 491 nt
Filed under: uncultured bacterium
Lineage: Bacteria
Description: partial 16S ribosomal RNA
Rfam family: Bacterial small subunit ribosomal RNA
Source: RNAcentral